CCCUGGCUCAGAACGAACGCUGGCGGCAGGCUUAACACAUGCAAGUCGAACGCCCCGCAAGGGGAGUGGCAGACGGGUGAGUAACGCGUGGGAAUCUACCCUUUUCUACGGAACAACUGAGGGAAACUUCAGCUAAUACCGUAUACGGCCGAGAGGCGAAAGAUUUAUCGGAGAAGGAUGAGCCCGCGUUGGAUUAGCUAGUUGGUGGGGUAAAGGCCCACCAAGGCGACGAUCCAUAGCUGGUCUGAGAGGAUGAUCAGCCACACUGGGACUGAGACACGGCCCAGACUCCUACGGGAGGCAGCAGUGGGGAAUAUUGGACAAUGGGCGCAAGCCUGAUCCAGCCAUGCCGCGUGAGUGAUGAAGGCCCUAGGGUUGUAAAGCUCUUUCACCGGUGAAGAUAAUGACGGUAACCGGAGAAGAAGCCCCG
Molecule: ribosomal RNA, 430 nt
Filed under: Phyllobacterium sp. CL5.4
Lineage: Bacteria; Pseudomonadati; Pseudomonadota; Alphaproteobacteria; Hyphomicrobiales; Phyllobacteriaceae
Description: bacterial SSU rRNA
Rfam family: Bacterial small subunit ribosomal RNA
Source: RNAcentral